CGCCAUCUUGGUCAGUUAUUCCGAGUAAAGGUUGAGAAGAUCUGCUAUCAAUAUAGGAAGUCACAGCUAUUACGUUGAUAUUUUGGUUGCAAUCAAUUCCAUCUUGGUGUAUUGUCUUCAUACUUGGCCACAACAACCCUUCAAAUAGACCAGACUAAACUUGACCUCCAUAUAAACAUUCAAGAUGGUCGGCCUACAUGUCAGAUUUGUAAAUGUGAACGGCACGAUAUUGAUUUUAAGGAUGCUUUAGGGUCAAUGAGGAUGAAAUAAAAUGUGAGACUGUCAAUCUGACAAACCUUGCAGUGAAUAAAUGGAAACAGUGGCGUUUGUAUGAUAGAACAGUAAUAGCAGGAGUGAUAAGGACAGAUGCAUGUAGAUGUGUCUUCAUGUCGGAAACACUAGAGAAAUUGACACAUUUGGGUUUUUCAAAACUUAAAGAAAUUGGAAUACCAGGAGACUGCUUGCCAUUUGCAAUGUUGGAAUGUGUGAUGUCGAAAGCCUCAUGAAUAUAGUAACUUGACUUAAUCUAAUAAGAAAAAGAAAAGACAUUGAGGAGAAAACUAGUCACCAGUCUUUCACCAAGAACAUGAGAUAACUUUCCAAUAUUUGAAAUAUUAUAAUAUGUCUAGAACUUGAAUGAGUGACAUAAUAUGUAUUGAUAUUGAAUGUGCGACCAGUUUUUCACCAGGAAAAUAAGAUCACUUAUCUAUUUUUGAAAUAUGUAUGAACAGAACUCUAUCAACUUCAAGGUGAGAGUUUAUCAUGAAGAACAUGAGAUAACUUGUGUAUGAACAGAACCACAUUUGAAUAUAGAGGCGCCAGUUCAUCACCAAGAAGAUGAGCUAACUUAUUAAUGUUUGAAAUCUGUUAUACCCCUGCACAACAAAGUUGUAAGGGGGCUAUACUGGAAUCAGCUUGUCCGGCCGUCGGGCGUCUGUCGCAUUUUUCAUGUCUGUCCAUAAAAUUAAGAUUCCUUUGACCCACAGUCUUCAUAUUUAGCAUGGAGGUAAGUCAUGAUUAGUAGAUGACCUCCAUUAAUUUUGAGAACACCAAGUCAAAGGUCAAGGUCACAGGGGUCUUGACUGAAGAAAGCUUCUCUGCCCAAUAACUUAAGAAUCCUUCGACCCACAGUCUUCAUAUUUAGCAUGGAGGUUAGUCAUGAUUAGUAGAUGACCCCUAUUUAUUUUCAGGUCUAAGGUCAUGGUCACAGGGGCCUUGGCUAAUUAAAGCUUGUCCGUCCAAUUACCUAAGAAUCCUUAGACCUAUAGUCUUAAUAUUUGGCAUGGAGGUUAUUCAAGAUUAGUAGAAUACCCCUAUUGAUUUUGAGGUUACCGGGGCAAAGGUCAAGGUCACAGGGGCUUUUAUUACAAUAAGCUUGUCUGCUCAAAUGGUCUCAUAUAUUCAUCAUAAAACACCUCCAGGCAAGGCUGCAUGAAAUGGGGGGGGGGGGGGGUGUUAUUGAAGUCAUUCAAUGGCCGUUUUAGUUUUGAGGUCAGUAGGUCCAAGGUAAAGUUCACUUUGAUCUUUUCUACUAAAACAUGUAGAAUAUAUAACUUAGCAAUGCACUGGCUUACUUCCCUCAGAUUUGGCUGAGCUGUAAAUGACUACUGUUGAUUCUGACAAAUUGGUAUGUGGGGGUAUUCAAGCUAUGACAAUGACAGUUCUAGUUUGUACAGAAAAUAUCAAGAUGCAAGU
Molecule: long non-coding RNA, 1695 nt
Organism: Ruditapes philippinarum (Manila clam)
Lineage: Eukaryota; Metazoa; Mollusca; Bivalvia; Venerida; Veneridae
Exons: 4
Source: RefSeq, a predicted model, not a curated record